RNAcentral lists this ribosomal RNA (192 nucleotides) under uncultured Bacillus sp. Its description in RNAcentral is "partial 16S ribosomal RNA". It matches the Rfam family "Bacterial small subunit ribosomal RNA", at positions 1263 to 1454 of the family's 1533-position model. The record is from RNAcentral. Lineage: Bacteria; Bacillati; Bacillota; Bacilli; Caryophanales; Bacillaceae.
UUAAGCCAAUCCCACAAAUCUGUUCUCAGUUCGGAUCGCAGUCUGCAACUCGACUGCGUGAAGCUGGAAUCGCUAGUAAUCGCGGAUCAGCAUGCCGCGGUGAAUACGUUCCCGGGCCUUGUACACACCGCCCGUCACACCACGAGAGUUUGUAACACCCGAAGUCGGUGAGGUAACCUUUAGGAGCCAGCC